Molecule: non-coding RNA, 1371 nt
Organism: Biomphalaria pfeifferi
Lineage: Eukaryota; Metazoa; Mollusca; Gastropoda; Planorbidae
Source: the annotation of a GenBank genome assembly
UUUGAAUAUUAGUCUAUAUUUAUUGUCUUAAGAUGAUCACAUAGAACUGGGACUGGCCCCCCUGUACCCAGUGCUAACAGUAGAAUACACUGCUGGCAUUAACAGAGACAAACCCAACACAUACACAGAAACAAAAAGCAAUAUGAGUUUGUAAUACAACAUAAUGCAUCUGACAUACAACAUAUUAGACCUGACAUGUCCAACAGUCUCAUCUGACCAUGGACCUAAACAAAGAUGUCAAAGAAAUGAGCCAACACACUAGAAUUAGGUGUCUGUUGAAGUUGAAUAAAUAAAACUCAAUUUUAAAAAAAGGUCCUAAAAUUUAAAAUAUUUACAAUGUAGAGUUUGAAUACAAUUGAAUGUAUCCUAAAACAAAGGUAUAUUGAGCUAUGAAAUCGCUAAUGUAAGUUGACUUCAGACACCCCAACAAUGUGUUCAGAAGUUUGUAGUAGCCUUGGAACAAAAUUACAUUUCUACUCAUUUUCUUGAAAUUUUCAAUGGACACCUUAAGAUGUCGAGAUAGACAAUUAGCAAUAGACAGAAUAAAUUAAAACUCUUUAUCAAACAGCAUUGUUCUCUUAACAUGCACAUAACUGUUACACACACACACAUCUCACAGGAUGGUCAACACAUUUUUGGAUUUCUUGCAAUUGUACAUUGUUUUGUUUCUAAGCUAGUUGUGUCCCUUACACCCCACUAUGCUGAGACAUUUGUGAAGUAUGAACAUUUUAUUUUCCAUGAAAAUCCGUUUCCAAAAUGUCAUGGAUUUUUGGCCUAAAAUUAGAGUUUGGAUUUGAACUCUUUCAAAGUUAGAAGUGGGACUUUAUACAAAUAGUUUUUGACACCAAUGGAGCACUAGUGACCUAGGGUAGGGGUGAUAAGAGUCCUCUAUCAAUUAAACAUUGCUCUAUGGUAGCUACAACAAAACAAACACUUGGAACUGGAUGGAAGAAGCAGUUGCAACAUAAGACAAUACAAGGAAGUGAAUUGUUUCUUUGGCUGGAGAUCAUACUUUUACAUAUACACAUAACCACUCUCACUAUCAAAUAAACACAAAUAAAGCUUUUUUGUUAAGGGGAAAUCACUCUACAGCUGGGGGAGCAAUGAAUGGGGGCUAAUGUUCAAAAUAAAUUAAAGAAAUACAUUCAUAUUACAAGUGUGCAGGUUGUUUAACCUACCUCCAAUACUGCAAACAAAAUGUCACAAACAAACAUUGUUUCAUGAAGUCUGUACAAAAGUUGAACAACUCAAAAUGUGACAUACAAGUUGAACAACUCAAAUGUCUCAUAAAAUGUUGAACAACUCAAAAUGUGACAUAAAAAUUGAACAAAUAAAAUGUGACAAUCAAGUUAAGCAACUCAAAUGUGACAA